This 262-nucleotide unclassified non-coding RNA is filed under the name Hevea brasiliensis (rubber tree). The record is from RNAcentral. Lineage: Eukaryota; Viridiplantae; Streptophyta; Magnoliopsida; Malpighiales; Euphorbiaceae.
AUCAUGUCCGACCCCGCGCAGGAGGCGAGGGCGCGCAACCUGUCGCGCGAGUUGCGCUGCAUGGUCUGUCAGAACCAAUCGAUCGACGAUUCCGAUGCGCCGCUGGCGCGCGAUCUGCGCCUGCUGGUGCGCGAGCGCAUCGCGGCCGGUAACACCGAUCAGCAGGUGAUGGACUUUCUCGUCGCGCGCUACGGCGAGUUCGUACUGCUCAAGCCGCGCGUGGAAAGCCGGACGCUGUUGCUGUGGCUGAUUCCCCCGCUGG